This 873-nucleotide ribosomal RNA is filed under the name Pulvinula sp. RNAcentral describes it as "partial large subunit ribosomal RNA". It matches the Rfam family "Eukaryotic large subunit ribosomal RNA", at positions 76 to 964 of the family's 3401-position model. The record is from RNAcentral. Lineage: Eukaryota; Fungi; Ascomycota; Pezizomycetes; Pezizales; Pulvinulaceae.
UGCCUUAGUAACUGCGAGUGAAGCGGCAUCAGCUCAAAUUUGAAAUCUGACGCCUUCAGCGUUCGAGUUGUAAUUUGGAGAGACACCUUCGAGACGAAUGUUAUCCUAAGUUCCUUGGAACAGGACAUCACAGAGGGUGAGAAUCCCAUAUGUGGAUGGCGGUUUCGUCUCAUGUGAAGUGUCCUCAACGAGUCGAGUUGUUUGGGAAUGCAGCUCAAAAUGGGUGGUAAAUGUCAUCUAAAGCUAAAUAAUUGCGAGAGACCGAUAGCGCACAAGUAGAGUGAUCGAAAGAUGAAAAGCACUUUGAAAAGAGAGUUAAAAAGUACGUGAAAUUGUUGAAAGGGAAGCGCUUGAAACCAGAUUCAGUUUUCGGUGAUCAGCAGCUCUUCGGGGCUGUGCACUGGCCGUUUACUGGGACAGCACCGGUUCGGAUGGCUGGAUAAAGGCCUGGGGAAUGUGGCUCCCUUAGGGGAGUGUUAUAGUCUCAGGUGCAAUAUGGUCGAUCCGGACCGAGGACCGCGCUUCGGCUAGGAUGCUGUCAAAAUGGUUCCCAGCGACCCGUCUUGAAACACGGACCAAGGAGUCUAACAUCUAUGCGAGUGUUUGGGUGGAAAACCCUUGCGCACAAUGAAAGUGAACGUAGAUGGGAACCCUUUAUUGGGUGCACUAUCGACCGAUCCUGAUGUCUUCGGAUGGAUUUGAGUAGGAGCAUAGCUGUUGGGACCCGAAAGAUGGUGAACUAUGCCUGAAUAGGGUGAAGCCAGANGAAACUCUGGUGGAGGCUCGCAGCGGUUCUGACGUGCAAAUCGAUCGUCAAAUUUGGGUAUAGGGGCGAAAGACUAAUCGAACCAUCUAGUAGCUGGUUCCUGCCGA